RNAcentral lists this ribosomal RNA (253 nucleotides) under uncultured bacterium. RNAcentral describes it as "partial 16S ribosomal RNA". It matches the Rfam family "Bacterial small subunit ribosomal RNA", at positions 524 to 776 of the family's 1533-position model. The record is from RNAcentral.
CACGUAGGGCGCAAGCGUUGUCCGGAAUUAUUGGGCGUAAAGUGCUCGUAGGCGGUCUGUUGCGUCUGCUGUGAAAACUCGGGGCUUAACCCCGAGCCUGCAGUGGAUACGGGCAGACUAGAGGUAGGUAGGGGAGAAUGGAAUUCCCGGUGUAGCGGUGAAAUGCGCAGAUAUCGGGAGGAACACCGGUGGCGAAGGCGGGAUCCUGGGCCAGUACUGACGCUGAGGAGCGAAAGCGUGGGGAGCAAACAGG